This 1445-nucleotide ribosomal RNA is filed under the name Staphylococcus aureus. RNAcentral's name for it is "bacterial SSU rRNA". It matches the Rfam family "Bacterial small subunit ribosomal RNA". Lineage: Bacteria; Bacillati; Bacillota; Bacilli; Caryophanales; Staphylococcaceae. The record is from RNAcentral.
GCGGCGUGCCUAAUACAUGCAAGUCGAGCGAACGGACGAGAAGCUUGCUUCUCUGAUGUUAGCGGCGGACGGGUGAGUAACACGUGGAUAACCUACCUAUAAGACUGGGAUAACUUCGGGAAACCGGAGCUAAUACCGGAUAAUAUUUUGAACCGCAUGGUUCAAAAGUGAAAGACGGUCUUGCUGUCACUUAUAGAUGGAUCCGCGCUGCAUUAGCUAGUUGGUAAGGUAACGGCUUACCAAGGCAACGAUGCAUAGCCGACCUGAGAGGGUGAUCGGCCACACUGGAACUGAGACACGGUCCAGACUCCUACGGGAGGCAGCAGUAGGGAAUCUUCCGCAAUGGGCGAAAGCCUGACGGAGCAACGCCGCGUGAGUGAUGAAGGUCUUCGGAUCGUAAAACUCUGUUAUUAGGGAAGAACAUAUGUGUAAGUAACUGUGCACAUCUUGACGGUACCUAAUCAGAAAGCCACGGCUAACUACGUGCCAGCAGCCGCGGUAAUACGUAGGUGGCAAGCGUUAUCCGGAAUUAUUGGGCGUAAAGCGCGCGUAGGCGGUUUUUUAAGUCUGAUGUGAAAGCCCACGGCUCAACCGUGGAGGGUCAUUGGAAACUGGAAAACUUGAGUGCAGAAGAGGAAAGUGGAAUUCCAUGUGUAGCGGUGAAAUGCGCAGAGAUAUGGAGGAACACCAGUGGCGAAGGCGACUUUCUGGUCUGUAACUGACGCUGAUGUGCGAAAGCGUGGGGAUCAAACAGGAUUAGAUACCCUGGUAGUCCACGCCGUAAACGAUGAGUGCUAAGUGUUAGGGGGUUUCCGCCCCUUAGUGCUGCAGCUAACGCAUUAAGCACUCCGCCUGGGGAGUACGACCGCAAGGUUGAAACUCAAAGGAAUUGACGGGGACCCGCACAAGCGGUGGAGCAUGUGGUUUAAUUCGAAGCAACGCGAAGAACCUUACCAAAUCUUGACAUCCUUUGACAACUCUAGAGAUAGAGCUUUCCCCUUCGGGGGACAAAGUGACAGGUGGUGCAUGGUUGUCGUCAGCUCGUGUCGUGAGAUGUUGGGUUAAGUCCCGCAACGAGCGCAACCCUUAAGCUUAGUUGCCAUCAUUAAGUUGGGCACUCUAAGUUGACUGCCGGUGACAAACCGGAGGAAGGUGGGGAUGACGUCAAAUCAUCAUGCCCCUUAUGAUUUGGGCUACACACGUGCUACAAUGGACAAUACAAAGGGCAGCGAAACCGCGAGGUCAAGCAAAUCCCAUAAAGUUGUUCUCAGUUCGGAUUGUAGUCUGCAACUCGACUACAUGAAGCUGGAAUCGCUAGUAAUCGUAGAUCAGCAUGCUACGGUGAAUACGUUCCCGGGUCUUGUACACACCGCCCGUCACACCACGAGAGUUUGUAACACCCGAAGCCGGUGGAGUAACCUUUUAGGAGCUAGCCGUCGAAGGUG